UCGGGGGAGCGAUCACCACGGUGUGGUUCAUGACUGGGGUGAAGUCGUAACAAGGUAGCCGUAGGGGAACCUGCGGCUGGAUCACCUCCUUA
RNAcentral lists this ribosomal RNA (92 nucleotides) under Halomonas flagellata. RNAcentral's name for it is "partial 16S ribosomal RNA". It matches the Rfam family "Bacterial small subunit ribosomal RNA", at positions 1442 to 1533 of the family's 1533-position model. The record is from RNAcentral. Lineage: Bacteria; Pseudomonadati; Pseudomonadota; Gammaproteobacteria; Oceanospirillales; Halomonadaceae.